UAUGCUAAUAGUGAUCGCAUCAUUUGUUUCAAUACAUUAACAAUUUAAACUGUGAAUCUUUUAGGCUGCAUAAUACGAAAAUUAACCAACAUUUUCCAUUUUAUUGACUUAUUUAAGAUUUUAAUUGCAUAUUUCUGUGUUUUUUUUUUAGACAUUUUUGAAUGGAUAAGUGUAUUCUUUUCAGUAAAACAUCCAAAGUGUCGCCUCGCCAAAUUACGUACAUUUUCAUUUAUUUCCAAAAAAUCAAUGAAAUAGAAGGAAAUAAUGGCUAAGAAUGUUCGAAUUAAAUGAUUGCCCCAAUAAUUUCUACCUGACGUGGAAUCUGCGGUAGGUAAUCAUUUCACAAUUAUUAGUGGUAAACAAAGUUCAGUAAAUUAGUAAACACGGUCAGAGGCUGUCUCAAAACAUAAUCCAAACCACUUGUCUGGGAUAGAGAAGUAAAACAAAUGUUGGUGAUUCACAGGAAUAUUGGUACUACCUACUCUGCGCACGACUAGUAAAUCGCAACUAAGAGAAAAUGUUGUUUCUCCAACGAUGAGUUAGAAGCAAAUGAACAGACGAAUAAACGAUUUGGAGGCCAUGAUUUUAAUUCACCCAGAAAAGCCUUAGAUACCCGAAAAUGUCUAAUUCACACACACUCAUGGGAUUAUAAUACUUAUAAUGUUUUUUCAAAACUGAAAUAUAUGAUGUACCACAUACACGGAACUGCGAAGUGGAGCCAAUGCAUUGACAAAUUUUCAGACGUUGACUUUCUUGGAGAUAAUUCUACCGACUCGGAUGAAGCCAUACAAUAUCGGAGAGAAUUAUGAAACUUAAAGGUAACACAAUUUUGCUGAGCACGAAUCCAAUUUUAAUAACGCGGCGGGCUUCAACAUAUUUAUAUUGCAAAGAAACACAGAACUAGUUUGGACAUUGGUAUCUUUUCUGAAGGGAAAGUGCAUCUAGUUGGAUGCGUUAAACAGGUUGUCAUACCCGUUCCCAUUAGCAACGAGGAGAGACAAACUUCUUUGAAAAAACAUUAUGCAAUUACCAAAA
This 1035-nucleotide long non-coding RNA is filed under the name Acyrthosiphon pisum (pea aphid). Its description in RNAcentral is "uncharacterized LOC103310948". The record is from RNAcentral. Lineage: Eukaryota; Metazoa; Arthropoda; Insecta; Hemiptera; Aphididae.